This 447-nucleotide ribosomal RNA is filed under the name uncultured bacterium. Its description in RNAcentral is "SSU rRNA". It matches the Rfam family "Bacterial small subunit ribosomal RNA", at positions 26 to 518 of the family's 1533-position model. The record is from RNAcentral.
AGAGCGAACGCUGGCGGCAGGCUUAACACAUGCAAGUCGAACGGGCGUAGCAAUACGUCAGUGGCAGACGGGUGAGUAACGCGUGGGAACAUACCUCUUGGUUCGGAACGACACAGGGAAACUUGUGCUAAUACCGGAUAAGCCCUUACGGGGAAAGAUUUAUCGCCGAGAGAUUGGCCCGCGUCUGAUUAGCUAGUUGGUAGGGUAAUGGCCUACCAAGGCGACGAUCAGUAGCUGGUCUGAGAGGAUGAUCAGCCACAUUGGGACUGAGACACGGCCCAAACUCCUACGGGAGGCAGCAGUGGGGAAUAUUGGACAAUGGGCGCAAGCCUGAUCCAGCCAUGCCGCGUGAGUGAUGAAGGCCCUAGGGUUGUAAAGCUCUUUUGUACGGGAAGAUAAUGACGGUACCGUAAGAAUAAGCCCGGCUAACUUCGUGCCAGCAGCCGC